Molecule: long non-coding RNA, 575 nt
Filed under: Oncorhynchus mykiss (rainbow trout)
Lineage: Eukaryota; Metazoa; Chordata; Actinopteri; Salmoniformes; Salmonidae
Description: lncRNA (ENSOMYG00000074000.1)
Source: RNAcentral
AUUAGCUAAACGGCUAACCCCGAUCAGUAAUGAUAGCUUGAUGUCGAGACUAGCUAGACUACAAUUUCACUAUUGUUCUCACAUAGAUGGCCAUAGAGGAAGAAACUGAGACAGCCUGAAUCCCAGAAACAAAGGAUUGUGCUGUAACUGUGCUUCCCCAAAUAAUUGAGGGGGUACCGUAGAAGACAGAGAAAGACUCCAGCGAAGAGGAGACAGAUAAGGAUGAAGAAAGGAGUAGGACGAGGUUGAGGUGUUACCAAUUGCGAUAGGGAGAGCCCAGAUGACGAGCCUAGCGAGCUGGGAGCUGUCAUUACUGCAACCCCCGAAACGCUUCCCUGCCUGGUCUAUCUUCACUGCUCUCCACAGCAUCUCCUUGAUAGUUCUGACCUUGAAGUGGAGUUGACAGCUGAGGUGAGAGUGGAAGGCUCGUCACUGCUCAGUAUCUUGUCCACUGUCACCGCUGGUAUAGGCAACAGGAAGUCAGGGUUGCUCUUUUAUCCCCGGCCCUCAGCAUCCCUCCUCCAGCCACAACCCCAGGCUCCAGGGAGUACUGACUGGACUGCAGCUUGCCCCAA